This is a long non-coding RNA of Onychostoma macrolepis, 396 nucleotides long. RefSeq lists it as uncharacterized. The record is from RefSeq and is a predicted model, not a curated record. Lineage: Eukaryota; Metazoa; Chordata; Actinopteri; Cypriniformes; Cyprinidae. The transcript has 4 exons.
GCAGUAUAUUAACCAGAAACUGAAACACAGAGACAGGUAGAAGGCCAUAAGCUCAACUUCAACAGCAUUGCACAAAAUUUAUGAAUCAUUAGAUCCAGUUCAUCUGGUUCAUAUCACUCUAUCACAUAAGGGAUGUGUUUGAACACCAGAAGAGCUCUGGGACGUGUGGACAGACAUUCGCUGUAAUGAUGGACAGGCUGAAAAGCAUAACUUCUGCUGGACAUCGCUCUGGGAUUCAGGGAUGACCCAAACCAUCCCUACCCCUUCAUUCACUCAUAUCCAGCUGGGAUCAAACCAGCAACCUCUGAACCGUGAGGCAGCACUUUUACCAGUGAGCCACAGAUCUCUUGUUAGGCCUUGUGAAGGAACUUAUAUUUCACUGUUAACCUGUAAUUU